AGAGUUUGAUCCUGGCUCAGAACGAACGUAGCGGCGCGCCUAACACAUGCAAGUCGAACGCGACAGGGGCAACUCUGUUGAGUGCCGCACGGGUGAGUAACACGUAGGUAAUCUCCCCCCGAGUGGUGGAUAACCCUCCGAAAGGAGAGCUAAUACAGCAUAAGACCACGGGGUCGAAAGACCUUGAGGUCAAAGCGGAGGAUCGUAAGACUUCGCGCUUGGGGAUGAGCCUGCGGCCCAUCACACUGGAACUGAGACACGGUCCAGACUCCUACGGGAGGCAGCAGGGGAAUCUUGCGCAAUGGACGAAAGUCUGACGCAGCGACGCCGCGUGGGUGAUGAAGGCCUUCGGGUUGUAAAGCCCUGUGGGGAGGGACGAAUAAGUUGCGGCUAAUACCCGCAGCGAUGACGGUACCUCCUUAGCAAGCACCGGCUAACUCUGUGCCAGCAGCCGCGGUAAGACAGAGGGUGCAAACGUUGUUCGGAAUUACUGGGCGUAAAGCGCGUGUAGGCGGCUAUGCAAGUCAGAUGUGAAAGCCCUCGGCUCAACCGGGGAAGUGCACCCGAAACUGCAAAGCUAGAGUCUCGGAGAGGAUCGUGGAAUUCUCGGUGUAGAGGUGAAAUUCGUAGAUAUCGAGAGGAACACCGGUGGCGAAGGCGGCGAUCUGGACGAUGACUGACGCUGAGACGCGAAAGCGUGGGGAGCAAACAGGAUUAGAUACCCUGGUAGUCCACGCCGUAAACGAUGGGUGCUAGGUGUCGCGGGCUUUGACCCCUGCGGUGCCGCAGCUAACGCAUUAAGCACCCCGCCUGGGAAGUACGGCCGCAAGGCUAAAACUCAAAGGAAUUGACGG
This 854-nucleotide ribosomal RNA is filed under the name uncultured bacterium. Its description in RNAcentral is "bacterial SSU rRNA". It matches the Rfam family "Bacterial small subunit ribosomal RNA", at positions 8 to 916 of the family's 1533-position model. The record is from RNAcentral.